UACGUAGGGACCGAGCGUUGUCCGGAAUCAUUGGGCGUAAAGAGCGUGUAGGCGGCCAACUAAGUCCUGCGUGAAAUCUCGGGGCUCAACCCCGAGCGGUCGUGGGAAACUGGUUGGCUAGAGUGCGGGAGAGGAGAGUGGAAUUCCUGGUGUAGCGGUGAAAUGCGCAGAUAUCAGGAAGAACACCCGUGGCGAAGGCGGCUCUCUGGAACGCAACUGACGCUGAGACGCGAAAGCGUGGGGAGCAAACGGG
This 253-nucleotide ribosomal RNA is filed under the name uncultured bacterium. RNAcentral describes it as "partial 16S ribosomal RNA". It matches the Rfam family "Bacterial small subunit ribosomal RNA", at positions 524 to 776 of the family's 1533-position model. The record is from RNAcentral.